GGGCAGGCACACCUGUCCUUUUCUUUCCCAUGCAGUGGCUGCGGACGGCAGCCUCCCUGGUAGCGUCCGCGGCCUGUUGCUUGUACGGGUUGCCUUAAGGGAGCUUGGAGACAGUC
This 116-nucleotide small nucleolar RNA is filed under the name Dasypus novemcinctus (nine-banded armadillo). Its description in RNAcentral is "Small nucleolar RNA SNORA70 (ENSDNOG00000040382.1)". It matches the Rfam family "Small nucleolar RNA SNORA70". Rfam says of the family: snoRNA U70 seems to be exclusive to mammals and is a member of the H/ACA class of snoRNA which contain H (ANANNA) and ACA box motifs. H/ACA box snoRNAs are involved in the conversion of uridines to pseudouridines (5-ribosyluracil) a constituent of structural RNAs (transfer, ribosomal, small nuclear, and small nucleolar). The record is from RNAcentral. Lineage: Eukaryota; Metazoa; Chordata; Mammalia; Cingulata; Dasypodidae.